This 482-nucleotide ribosomal RNA is filed under the name uncultured bacterium. Its description in RNAcentral is "partial 16S ribosomal RNA". It matches the Rfam family "Bacterial small subunit ribosomal RNA", at positions 30 to 506 of the family's 1533-position model. The record is from RNAcentral.
UUGAACGCUGGCGGCAGGCCUAACACAUGCAAGUCGAGCGGAUGAAGGGAGCUUGCUCCUGGAUUCAGCGGCGGACGGGUGAGUAAUGCCUAGGAAUCUGCCUGGUAGUGGGGGAUAACGUCCGGAAACGGGCGCUAAUACCGCAUACGCCCUGAGGGAGAAAGUGGGGGAUCUUCGGACCUCACGCUAUCAGAUGAGCCUAGGUCGGAUUAGCUAGUUGGUGGGGUAAAGGCCUACCAAGGCGACGAUCCGUAACUGGUCUGAGAGGAUGAUCAGUCACCGUGGAAAGGGAACACGGUCCAGACCCCUAGGGGGGGAAGCAGUGGGGAAUAUUGGAAAAGGGGCGAAAGCCUGAUCCAGCCAUGCCGCGGGUGUGAAGAAGGUCUUCGGAUGGUAAAGCACUUUAAGUUGGGAGGAAGGGCAGUAAGUUAAUACCUUGCUGUUUGGACGUUACCAACAAAAUAAGCACCGGCUAACUUCGU